Molecule: long non-coding RNA, 2289 nt
Filed under: Marmota monax (woodchuck)
Lineage: Eukaryota; Metazoa; Chordata; Mammalia; Rodentia; Sciuridae
Source: RNAcentral
GCCAAAAAGAGUGUGAGGCUGCUAAAGCUCAGAAGCAGUGCAAAAACGUGGUGCUGUCUGGCACUGCCACCUGCGGGAUCCCUGCUCAUUGCUGAGCCCCUGGUGGUUCACCUCCCAUUGCUCCUUGACCUCCACUUCCGACGGAAGCCACAGGGAAGACACCUGGACACCGCACGAGUAAGGAGAUGGAGCCCGUGACCUUUGAGGAUGUGGCCAUGAAUUUCACCCAGGAGGAGUGGGCACUGCUGGAUCCUUCCCAAAAGCAGCUCUACAGAGAUGUGAUGCAGGAAACCUCUGGGAACCUGGCCUUUAUAGGAGAAAAAUGGAAAGAACUAAAUGUUGAAGAUGAGUUCAAAAGCCCCAGGAAAAACCUAAGAAGUCAAGUGGUUGAGAGACUCUGUGAAUGCAAAGGAGAUAGUCAGUGUGCAGAAAACCUUAACUGGACUCCAGAGCAUAUUUUGAAGGAAAAAACUCCUCCAGGAGUAACACCAUGUGAAAGUCCUGUGUGUGGAGAAGUGACCAUUGGUCAUUCAUCCCUAAAGGUGCCCCUGAGAGGUCCCACUGAACACGAACCAUGUGAGCAUCAGGAAUAUGGAGAGAGGCCAUAUAAUCAGAAGGAGUAUGGGAAAUCCUUCAGCUAUUCUCAGUGUUUGCAGACUCAUGAAAGGACUCACAGUGGAGAGAGACACUGUGACAAAAAAUGUGAUGAAGCCUUUAGGUGUUCCAGUCCUGUUGGAAAUCAUAAAAGGACUCACACUGGCGAGAAGCCCUAUAAAUGUAAGCAAUGUGGGAAAACCUUCGCCCGUUCUAGUAUCCUUGUAGAGCAUGAAAGAAUUCACACCGGAGAGAAACCAUUUGUGUGUAAGAGUUGUGGCAAAAGAUUUCCUCGUUCUAGUUCCCUUUACACACAUGAAAGAAUUCACACUGGAGAGAAACCCUUUGUUUGUAAGCAAUGCAGUAAAGCCUUCUGUGAUCAGAGUUCCCUUCGAUACCAUGAAAGAAUUCACAGGGGAGAGAAGCCAUAUGUAUGUAAGCAACGUGGGAAAGCCUUUGCUUGUUCUGGUACCUUUCGAAAACAUGAAAGAAUUCACGAAAAAGAGAAACCCUAUAAAUGUCUGCACUGUGUGAAAGCCUUCCAUUCUGACAGUGCCUUUCGAAAACAUAAGAGAGUGCAUACUGGAGAGAAACUCUAUGUAUGUCCGCAUUGUGGUAAAGGCUUUGUUUAUUCCAUUUCUUUUAAGUACCAUGUAAAGACGCACAAUGGAGAGAGAGAAAAGAAACCCUAUGAAUGCAAGCAGUGUGGUAAAACGUUCUAUAGUGCCAGUUACCUGAAAGAACAUGAGAACAUUCACAGUGGAGAGAAACCCUAUGAAUGCAAGCAGUGUGGUAAAGCCUUCCAUAAUUCCGCUUCCCUCCGAAGACAUAACAAAGUGCACACUGGAGAAAAGCCACAUGUAUGUGAGCAGUGUGGGAGAGCCUUUGCUUGUUCUAGUUCCUUUCGGAGACAUAACAAAGUUCACACUGGAGAAAAACCACAUGUAUGUGAGCAGUGUGGGAGAGCCUUUGCUUGUUCUGAUUCCUUUCGGAGACAUAAAAGAACUCACACAGGAGAGAAACCCUAUAGAUGUAUGCACUGUGGAAAAGCCUUCAGUUCUGACAGUGCCUUUAGAAGACAUAAAAGAAAAAAAAUGCAUACUGAAGAGAAACCAUAUUUUGACAGCAUUGCAGCAGAGCCUUCAUUUAUCCCUCUUCAUUUAAAUACCACGUAAGAACGCACAAUGGAGAGAAACCUUAUGUAUAUGAGCAAUGUGGGAAACCUUCCUUAUUUUGAAUCAUUUUAUAGCACAUGAAUAAGCUCAUAGGGGCAAAUCCUAUGUGUGUAAGCAGUGUGAGAAAAUCUUGUUUCCCAGUUCCCUUCAAAUACAUGAAAGAUUAUACACUGGAGAGAGACCCUACGUUUGUGAGCAGUGUGGGAAAGCAUUCCGUUGUUCCACUGCCCUGAGAACCCAUAAAAAAAUGCACAGUGCAGCGAAUCUGUACGAACUCAAGCAGUGUGGUAAAGCAUUUGGUGAUCCCAGGUCCCUGAAAACAUGAAAAAAUUCACAGUGGAGAGAAACCCUAUGUAUAAAAGUCUCCAUUUGGCUCACACAUGUGGAUGCACACUGAAUCAAACCUUGUCAUUGUGAAGAAAAAAAAUAAAACCCAAGAAAGUUAUUAGUUGAAACACAGUUUCAAUUAAUGAAAAAUUGUCAUGUAGUGCAAUCUUAUGAGUAAUAUGAAGAACUUGAU